UUUUUGCUUAAUAUUAACACUACAUCAAUGUAUGUACUAUAAUUAGUAUUUUUAGUUGUAUGUUUUUGUUGUUUUUUUUUUUUUUAAUUUUAAAUUUUUUUUGGGUUUUUUGUUUCUUCUUCUUCUCCUCCUGCCGUUACUCUCUCUAUGUAUGUUGUUUGGGUAAUGGGUCGGCCUAUGGAAAGAAACAGGAGAACCAAUAUCGUACACCGGACACGUAUGCCGAGGCUAUACUCUA
This is a long non-coding RNA of Drosophila arizonae, 238 nucleotides long. The record is from RefSeq and is a predicted model, not a curated record. NCBI's taxonomy places the organism in Eukaryota, Metazoa, Arthropoda, Insecta, Diptera, Drosophilidae.